This 632-nucleotide RNase P RNA is filed under the name Natrinema mahii. RNAcentral describes it as "Haloterrigena sp. H13 ribonuclease P RNA". The stretch from base 129 to 623 matches the Rfam family "Archaeal RNase P". Rfam says of the family: Ribonuclease P (RNase P) is a ubiquitous endoribonuclease, found in archaea, bacteria and eukarya as well as chloroplasts and mitochondria. Its best characterised activity is the generation of mature 5'-ends of tRNAs by cleaving the 5'-leader elements of precursor-tRNAs. The record is from RNAcentral. Lineage: Archaea; Methanobacteriati; Methanobacteriota; Halobacteria; Halobacteriales; Natrialbaceae.
GGGAGAGAGAGCCCGGCCGCCGCGAUGGUCGCACCGGCGACGGUACGACCACCUCACGUGAUCCGUCCCCUCGGGAUGCAUCACGCUCUAACGUUGCCCGUCCCUCCGGGACGCGCAACGCUCAUAACGUGAUCCGUCCCUUCGGGACGCAUCACGCUCGCGAGGAAAGUCCCCCCACCUGUUCGGGCAGGUGACCGGACGCAAGUCCGGAGCGGGAGACCGCUGGCUCUGGAACAGAAACGACACGUCUCGGCCCGACCGAUGACGCGUGCGAACCCGACCGAGAGGAAGGGGAGUUGACCCGCAGAGGGUUGCGCGGUCCUCCGGACCGCGAAACGUGAGGCGGCGCGAGCCGCCGAACCGGCGAGCGGCAGCCGCCGCGAGCCGCGUGCGGUCGUCAAACCGUGGUUCGAAUCCACGGGUCACGAGCGCGGUUCGGAGCGCCCUCGGCGCGAGAACUGCGAACGUCGUGAUCGACCGCACACGGACGGCCGAGGAACGAUGGAACGGCGAACCCUCACCGGUGCAAGUCCGCGCCGUGGUAGCCCGAACACCCCGCGGCUUCGCCGCGGACGGCGCGGACGCUCAGCCGAAUGCCGGGCCGAACAGAAGGGGGCUUACUCCUCUCACCC